RNAcentral lists this ribosomal RNA (1596 nucleotides) under Streptococcus pneumoniae. RNAcentral describes it as "bacterial SSU rRNA". The stretch from base 1 to 982 matches the Rfam family "Bacterial small subunit ribosomal RNA". Lineage: Bacteria; Bacillati; Bacillota; Bacilli; Lactobacillales; Streptococcaceae. The record is from RNAcentral.
AGAGUUUGAUCCUGGCUCAGGACGAACGCUGGCGGCGUGCCUAAUACAUGCAAGUAGAACGCUGAAGGAGGAGCUUGCUUCUCUGGAUGAGUUGCGAACGGGUGAGUAACGCGUAGGUAACCUGCCUGGUAGCGGGGGAUAACUAUUGGAAACGAUAGCUAAUACCGCAUAAGAGUGGAUGUUGCAUGACAUUUGCUUAAAAGGUGCACUUGCAUCACUACCAGAUGGACCUGCGUUGUAUUAGCUAGUUGGUGGGGUAAGGGCUCACCAAGGCGACGAUACAUAGCCGACCUGAGAGGGUGAUCGGCCACACUGGGACUGAGACACGGCCCAGACUCCUACGGGAGGCAGCAGUAGGGAAUCUUCGGCAAUGGACGGAAGUCUGACCGAGCAACGCCGCGUGAGUGAAGAAGGUUUUCGGAUCGUAAAGCUCUGUUGUAAGAGAAGAACGAGUGUGAGAGUGGAAAGUUCACACUGUGACGGUAUCUUACCAGAAAGGGACGGCUAACUACGUGCCAGCAGCCGCGGUAAUACGUAGGUCCCGAGCGUUGUCCGGAUUUAUUGGGCGUAAAGCGAGCGCAGGCGGUUAGAUAAGUCUGAAGUUAAAGGCUGUGGCUUAACCAUAGUAGGCUUUGGAAACUGUUUAACUUGAGUGCAAGAGGGGAGAGUGGAAUUCCAUGUGUAGCGGUGAAAUGCGUAGAUAUAUGGAGGAACACCGGUGGCGAAAGCGGCUCUCUGGCUUGUAACUGACGCUGAGGCUCGAAAGCGUGGGGAGCAAACAGGAUUAGAUACCCUGGUAGUCCACGCUGUAAACGAUGAGUGCUAGGUGUUAGACCCUUUCCGGGGUUUAGUGCCGUAGCUAACGCAUUAAGCACUCCGCCUGGGGAGUACGACCGCAAGGUUGAAAAAAUUGCAGUCCCAGCUCCCUCAAUCCGAUAAAUGAGGUGACACUGCUUGUUUGCCUUGUCAAUAGACGAAAUUGAAAUAGGACGACGUAAGAGAUGGGCAUCGUCCGGUACACGCAGAUGAAGAAAUUNNNNNNNNNNNNNNNNCGAUCGAAAAAAUUUCUUAUUGACAAAAUCAAGUAUCUCUAGUAAUAUAGAAUAUGCGAUGAGUCGAUAGGUAGUCUUCGGACUACUAUUGAGCAUAAGGAGGUCAUAACGCAGGAGCGGACCUUGAUGAGUUGUGUGAACCUGCUCAUCACAUGAAGAUGCCUCUUAAUCCCUAGUCUAGCGAUUGGGGAUUUUUAUUUUCCAAAAAAUGAUGAAAAAGCUUUGCAAUUCAUGGAAAAAGUAGUAUAAUACUUCUAUUAUAGAAAUUUUUAGAAAAUUCCGAAAGAGGUUAUUUAUGGGAUAUACAGUUGCUGUAGUCGGCGCGACAGGUGCUGUCGGUGCUCAGAUGAUAAAAAUGUUGGAAGAAUCAACACUUCCAAUCGAUAAAAUCCGUUACCUUGCUUCUGCACGUUCAGCAGGUAAGUCAUUGAAAUUUAAAGAUCAAGAUAUUACGAUUGAAGAAACGACUGAAACAGCUUUUGAAGGAGUUGAUAUUGCUCUCUUUUCAGCAGGUGGUUCGACAUCAGCUAAGUAUGCACCAUAC